This 482-nucleotide ribosomal RNA is filed under the name uncultured bacterium. Its description in RNAcentral is "partial 16S ribosomal RNA". It matches the Rfam family "Bacterial small subunit ribosomal RNA", at positions 30 to 507 of the family's 1533-position model. The record is from RNAcentral.
AUUGAACGCUGGCGGCAUGCCUUACACAUGCAAGUCGAACGGUAACAGGUCUUCGGAUGCUGACGAGUGGCGAACGGGUGAGUAAUACAUCGGAACGUGCCCGAUCGUGGGGGAUAACGAGGCGAAAGCUUUGCUAAUACCGCACACGAUCUACGGAUGAAAGCGGGGGAUCUUCGGACCUCGCGCGGACGGAGCGGCCGAUGGCAGAUUAGGUAGUUGGUGGGAUAAAAGCUUACCAAGCCGACGAUCUGUAGCUGGUCUGAGAGGAUGAUCAGCCACACUGGGACUGAGACACGGCCCAGACUCCUACGGGAGGCAGCAGUGGGGAAUUUUGGACAAUGGGCGAAAGCCUGAUCCAGCCAUGCCGCGUGCAGGAUGAAGGCCUUCGGGUUGUAAACUGCUUUUGUACGGAACGAAAAGCCUCUUUCUAAUAAAGAGGGGUCAUGACGGUACCGUAAGAAUAAGCACCGGCUAACUACGUG